Molecule: ribosomal RNA, 434 nt
Filed under: uncultured bacterium
Lineage: Bacteria
Description: partial 16S ribosomal RNA
Rfam family: Bacterial small subunit ribosomal RNA
Source: RNAcentral
AGCGAACGCUGGCGGCAGGCCUAACACAUGCAAGUCGAACGAACCUUUCGGGGUUAGUGGCGGAAGGGUGCGUAACACGUGGGAACGUGCCUUUAGGUUCGGAAUAACUCAGGGAAACUUGUGCUAAUACCGACUGUGCCCUUCGGGGGAAAGAUUUAUCGCCUGUAGAGCGGCCCGCGUCUGAUUAGCUAGUUGGUUGAGGUAAUGGCUCACCAAGGCGACGAUCAGUAGCUGGUCUGAGAGGAUGAUCAGACACAUUGGGACUGAGACACGGCCCAAACUCCUACGGGAGGCAGCAGUGAGGAAUCUUGCGCAAUGGGCGAAAGAAUGACGCAGCCAUGCCGCGUGAAUGAUGAAGGUCUUAGGAUUGUAAAAUUCUUUCAACGGGGACGAUAAUGACGGUACCCGGAGAAGAAGCCCCGGCUAACUUCGUG